CGCCGGUGAUCGCCGAAUCCGUGCAGCAAGGAGGCACGGAACCGGGGAACCAGUCGACCUUCGCCCGAAGGUCUGGGGUGAAUCGGCGCGCCAUGCGCCGUAGGGCGUCUUCCCUGCCCGAAUCCGUCAGCUAACCCGGUAGGCGCAAGCGGAAGACUCG
Molecule: small RNA, 160 nt
Filed under: Microbispora sp. ATCC PTA-5024
Lineage: Bacteria; Bacillati; Actinomycetota; Actinomycetes; Streptosporangiales; Streptosporangiaceae
Also listed under: 1 other name
Description: c-di-AMP riboswitch aptamer (ydaO/yuaA leader)
Rfam family: c-di-AMP riboswitch aptamer (ydaO/yuaA leader)
About the family: This family represents a conserved RNA structure found upstream of the ydaO and yuaA genes in Bacillus subtilis and related genes in other bacteria. The ydaO/yuaA element is thought to act as a genetic "off" switch for the ydaO and yuaA genes in its native state. It is believed that the element may be triggered during osmotic shock leading to activation of ydaO, a predicted amino acid transporter gene, and members of the yuaA-yubG operon which code for KtrA and KtrB K+ transporters.
Source: Rfam by way of RNAcentral